This 775-nucleotide ribosomal RNA is filed under the name uncultured archaeon. Its description in RNAcentral is "bacterial SSU rRNA". It matches the Rfam family "Archaeal small subunit ribosomal RNA", at positions 85 to 860 of the family's 1478-position model. The record is from RNAcentral.
ACGGCUCAGUAACACGUGGAUAACCUGCCCUUGGGUCCGGCAUAACCCCGGGAAACUGGGGAUAAUUCCGGAUAACGCACAUAUGCUGGAAUGCUUUCUGCGUAAAAUGGAUUCGUCUGCCCCACGAUGGGUCUGCGGCCUAUCAGGUAGCAAUGGGUGUAGUGUACCUACUAGCCUAGGACCGGUACGGGUUGUGAGAGCAAGAGCCCGGAGAUGGACUCUGAGACACUAAUCCCUGCCCUACGGGGUGCAGCAGGCGCGAAAACUUUACAAUGCUGGCAACAGCGAUAAGGGGACCUCUAGUGCGAGGAUACAAUCCUGGCUGUCCUAAUGCCUAAAAAGCAUUGCAUAACAAGGGCCGGGCAAUACCGGUGCCAGCCGCCGCGGUAACACCGGCGGCUCGAGUGGUAACCGCUAUUAUUGGGUCUAAAGGGUCUGUAGCCGGCUGAAUAAAUCUCUUGGGAAAUCUGGCUUGUCAACUGUCAGGCUUUCAUGAGAUACUGUUCGGCUCGAGACCGGGAGAGGUGAAAGGUACCUCAGGGGUAGGGGUGAAAUCUUGUAAUCCUUGAGGGACCACCAGUGGCGAAGGCGUCUCACCAAAACGGACCUGACGGCAAGGGACGAAAGCUAGGGGCACGAACCGGAUUAGAUACCCGGGAAGUCCUAGCCGUAAACGACACUCUCUAGGUGUCGGCCACGGUGCGACCGAUGUCGGUGCCGUAGGGAAGCCGUGAAGCGAGCCACCUGAGAAGUACGCCUGCAGGCUGAAUUUAAG